UACGUAGGGGGCGAGCGUUGUCCGGAUUUAUUGGGCGUAAAGAGCGUGUAGGCGGCCAGGUAGGUCUGCUGUGAAAACUCGAGGCUCAACCUCGAGACGUCGGCGGAAACCAUCUGGCUAGAGUCCGGAAGAGGAGAGUGGAAUUCCUGGUGUAGCGGUGAAAUGCGCAGAUAUCAGGAGGAACACCCAUGGCGAAGGCAGCAAACUGGUCAUCAACUGACGCUGAGGCGCGAAAGCGUGGGUAGCAAACAGG
RNAcentral lists this ribosomal RNA (253 nucleotides) under uncultured bacterium. RNAcentral describes it as "partial 16S ribosomal RNA". It matches the Rfam family "Bacterial small subunit ribosomal RNA", at positions 524 to 776 of the family's 1533-position model. The record is from RNAcentral.